Molecule: long non-coding RNA, 3116 nt
Filed under: Sus scrofa (pig)
Lineage: Eukaryota; Metazoa; Chordata; Mammalia; Artiodactyla; Suidae
Description: lncRNA (ENSSSCG00000059057.1)
Source: RNAcentral
GGAAUUUGAGGUAUUAGGGAAGAAUUUUUAAAUAGUUAGGAUUUAUUUAAGAAGUGUAUGAGAGAGUAGAUUCAUUAUAUGAACAAAGGAAUUAUAAUAAAAAGUAAAAACAGUAAGAACCCAGUAGAAAUUUUUUUAAUUGCUCUGGUUUCCAAAGCAAGAUUAAGAUUUCUAUGAAUGAGAUUCUGCUAGAAUUCUUGAAGGAAAAACUUUUGAACUUGCAUUUAAAAUAUGGAUGAACUAUCAAAGGAUGAGAUAAUCAGUUAAAAUCAGUCAGUAUCAGUACAUAGAGGCAUUAAAGAUAGAGGAUAUUUUGGAAAAUUAUGAUUAUGCCACUUAGGAAUUGGGUUGUAGUUUCUGAGGUUGUAAUAAAUAGAUAAAGGUUCGGAUCCUGCAUGGUCUCAAGUAUGAGUCUAAGAGUCUUCAUAUAUGUUUUGUCCAAUAAAAAAUACAGAUUAUUUUAAUGGAAUAUAUAUGGAUUUUAGCCUAUACAUAUUCUAUUAACAUAUACAUGUUAAAAUGGUACAGAGUUUUAAUUUCAUUAUAUAUUCUCUAGAACCACUGAAUAUGCUUUCUCCAGGGAAAAGAAGUUGAUUUUUCAAUUUGUAAGGUCAAAAGAACUAAAUUAGCCAAAAAUAGCUUAAAAUAUCAAUGAGAAAUGAAGAUUGCAUAAGUUCUGAGACAUUAUUAUGAUAACACAAUUUCUUGCUUUUUUAAUUAUAAUAAAAUGAGAAUUAAGGCAUAAUAUGUAAAUCAUAAUUUGCUGUAAGCAUUCUAAUUUAGAGGAAGCUGCAGGAGAAAUUCUGACUAAGCAGUCUGAUGUUUUUAGCCAAAUAAGUGAACUCAUUUAUUAUAACUAGUGGUUGCUUAAUGCAAAAUUUUUUUAUAGCAAUAGUUCUCAAUGAAAUGCUGGAAUGUGUUGGAGAACUUUUAUUACUUUUUAUUAUAUUGUAUUUACAAUGUUCUGUAAAUUUCUGCCAUACGGCAAAGUGACUCAGUUAUAUAUGUGUUAUAUAUCUUUUUAUCACAUUAUCCUCCAUCAUAUUCCAUCACCAGUGAUUAGAUAUAGUUCCCUGUGCUAUACAGCAGGAUCCCAUUGCUUAUCCACUUUGGGGAACUUUUAAAAUCCAAAGGCCAAACUACAUCCCAGACAAAUUAUAUAAUAUUCUGGAAAUAGGACCCAAGUAUAAAUAUUUUUAAAUCUCCUCAGGUGAUUUCAAUAUCAAGCCAAAGUUGGAAACUCCUUAUUUUAGGACAGAUUAACCAAUAAAAUUGUUUAACACAAACAUAGUUUUCCAUCUGUAAUUAUGACGUCUUAUUUUCUUUUAUGACUAGGAAACCAUUGUUAUACAGUUAAGCAAUCACUUAACUAGUAACCAACUGAUUUAGUUACAUUUUUCAUCAUAUUUAUAUGGUCCCCUGAAUGUUAAUAUUCUAUGAGUUUUGUUUCUUUGCUUUGUAUAUCUGAGACAAAAUGAAGAUUUUACCAUUUUUCAAUACAUCAUGUCCUUUCAAAGGAUUAUGUCUCAAUACAGUGCCCUUUUGUGCUCUACACUUUUGUAAACAUGUAGUCUAGCAAGGACUUACAUUAAUAAUUAAAUCAAAUUGGGAGCUAUCAUAUGAUUCAUUUAUUAAACUUAGUAAAUAUAUUUACUAAGCAAAAUUAAUCAGAAUUUAAUGAUUAUAGUCACUGCAUUCCUAAAAAAAAUUAAAUAUUUAGGGGUCUCAUAGGCAGGCACAGAGCCAUUAUUUGCUUAGGGGGUACUUAAAAGUAUCUUGGAAGCAGUGCAAAGAAUCCUGGAAAUCUGCAAGGAGCUUUCUAUGCAAGUUGAGAGCUGUGAAAAGUCCAUUAAACUGGUAAAGCUAUUUUAGAAACAGUGCAAAUGGUCCUGUGAACCGCAGAAGGCCUAGUGGGUGGGGAAGAUCUGAUAUAUGCACAGGAGAUAGAGAAAGAAAACUUGGAAAUAGCACAAAAGAUCCUGGGAGUCAAAAGAGGCCAGGUGGAAAGCCCAAAAAGGCCUAGUGAAGGGACAAAGUGAACCUGGAAACAACACACACAGCCUGGGAGACACAAAUGUCCUAGUGGAUUGGUAGAGUAAUUUCGUGAAAGCACAAGCUCCAUCAUCCCUACCAACAAUCAACCAGGGGACUGCAGAAAUAGUACAUGUGGCAUGGGUAGAAAAAGGAGUUGAAGGGGCCCACUGGUGCAUACUUUUAUAGCGCAACAGCUACGGGAGCACUUUACCAUCAGCCUAGUAGGGGGAGGGACUGCCAGAAUGGCGCAGAGAGAAUGCUAUAGAGAAAGACUUUUAGCAACAGUUAGGGAGAAGGCCCUGCCUCUGGGGCUACAGAGAAUGCCCGCUAUACUGGACAAACAAAGGGAAUGACUACAGAGGGGCCCCUGUCUCCCCGCCAACCCUUAGCCACAUAAAGCGGUCCUUAGAACAUAUCAGACAAAGGGAGGGACCCUGUGGGAUAAACUGCUAAAGUUGCCAAUCAUAGAAAACUGUCCUGAGAUCUACCUGGAAGCAGGAGGGGUCACGGAGCCAGCCCUGAUUCCCUUAACCACAAAAGCAAUCCUGUGAAACAUUGAUCACUACCAACAUUUGCAGGGACCCCAUCCCUAACAGCCACCUGGCUUCAUGGGAGGUAGCACAGUACUACAGCUCCCAUGAUGUGCUCUAGGAACACAUGAACCACUAACACUCCUGUGGAAUUCAGAACAAAGCACCAACUGUGGCAUCUAAAAACAUGUCAUCAAGGGUACAGUAAGUAUAGAAAGUUAGACAUUAUGAGAUAACAAAGAAAUAGCCUUCAAAUGAAUAAGACAAAAGCACAAAAACAACUAAAUGAGGAGGAAAUAGGUAACCUACCUGAAAAAAGAAUUGAGAGAGAUGAUAAUAAAGAUGAUUCAAGACCUUGGGGAAAAAAAAUGGAGACACAGAGAUGUUAUGAGAAAUGUUUAACAAAGAGCUAGAGGAGCUAAGGAACAAGCAAAUUAAGAUGGAUAGCACAAUAUAUGAAAUGAAAAAUACACUAGAAGAAUCAAUAGCAGGAUAACAGAGGCAGAAGGAUGAAUAAGUGAUGUGGAAGACAGAGUGGUGGAGAUCACUGCC